ACGAUGUUCCGCUGCAAGCAUCUUGUAUGAGCAUCUG
Regulatory RNA element from Aeribacillus pallidus, 37 nucleotides. It matches the Rfam family "Ribosomal protein L19 leader". Rfam says of the family: This family is a putative r-protein leader autoregulatory structure found in B. subtilis and other low-GC Gram-positive bacteria. It is located in the 5' untranslated regions of mRNAs encoding ribosomal protein L19 (rplS). The record is from Rfam. Lineage: Bacteria; Bacillati; Bacillota; Bacilli; Caryophanales; Bacillaceae.